AGACCCGAAACCCGGUGAUCUAGCCAUGGGCAGGUUGAAGGUUGGGUAACACUAACUGGAGGACCGAACCGACUAAUGUUGAAAAAUUAGCGGAUGACCUGUGGCUGGGGGUGAAAGGCCAAUCAAACCGGGAGAUAGCUGGUUCUCCCCGAAAGCUAUUUAGGUAGCGCCUCGUGAAUUCAUCUCCGGGGGUAGAGCACUGUUUCGGCUAGGGGGCCAUCCCGGCUUACCAACCCGAUGCAAACUGCGAAUACCGGAGAAUGUUAUCACGGGAGACACACGGCGGGUGCUAACGUCCGUCGUGAAGAGGGAAACAACCCAGACCGCCAGCUAAGGUCCCAAAGUCAUGGUUAAGUGGGAAACGAUGUGGGAAGGCCCAGACAGCCAGGAUGUUGGCUUAGAAGCAGCCAUCAUUUAAAGAAAGCGUAAUAGCUCACUGGUCGAGUCGGCCCGCGCGGAAGAUGUAACGGGGCUAAACCAUGCACCGAAGCUGCGGCAGCGACGCUGAUGCGUUGUUGGGUAGGGGAGCGUUCUGUAAGCCUG
RNAcentral lists this ribosomal RNA (543 nucleotides) under Salmonella enterica subsp. enterica serovar Nagoya. Its description in RNAcentral is "partial 23S ribosomal RNA". It matches the Rfam family "Bacterial large subunit ribosomal RNA", at positions 711 to 1251 of the family's 2925-position model. Lineage: Bacteria; Pseudomonadati; Pseudomonadota; Gammaproteobacteria; Enterobacterales; Enterobacteriaceae. The record is from RNAcentral.